UUCCAGACUCCUACGGGAGGCAGCAGUGGGGAAUAUUGGACAAUGGGGGGAACCCUGAUCCAGCGACGCCGCGUGAGUGAAGAAGUAUUUCGGUAUGUAAAGCUCUAUCAGCAGGGAAGAAAGAAAUGACGGUACCUGACUAAGAAGCCCCGGCUAACUACGUGCCAGCAGCCGCGGUAAUACGUAGGGGGCAAGCGUUAUCCGGAUUUACUGGGUGUAAAGGGAGCGUAGACGGCAGCGCAAGUCUGAAGUGAAAUGCCGGGGCUUAACCCCGGAACUGCUUUGGAAACUGUGCAGCUAGAGUGCAGGAGAGGUAAGUGGAAUUCCUAGUGUAGCGGUGAAAUGCGUAGAUAUUAGGAGGAACACCAGUGGCGAAGGCGGCUUGCUGGACAGUAACUGACGUUGAGGCUCGAAAGCGUGGGGAGCAAACAGGAUUAGAUACCCCAGUAAU
RNAcentral lists this ribosomal RNA (451 nucleotides) under uncultured bacterium. Its description in RNAcentral is "bacterial SSU rRNA". It matches the Rfam family "Bacterial small subunit ribosomal RNA", at positions 329 to 794 of the family's 1533-position model. The record is from RNAcentral.